GAUAGUAGUUUUGAAAAUUAAUUCUUACUUUAAAAGAAAUAAUCAUAUCAUUUUCAAACACGAUUUCAUUAAACCAUAAGCCAGAAACCAGUAAUAAAUCAUUAAACAUUUAAAUCAGAUUACUAACCAUGGAAAUCAUAUCACAAUAUCAUAUAGACUUCACAAAUAUGAAAAUCAUCACCAAAAAAGUACCCAGGGAAAUAAUCUCAUCAUAUCCGGACCUCAAUGGACGGGCAAUUAUGUACUAUCUCGGUACCGUCACGCCCCAGAGCUACACGGAUAGACAGGGAAAUAUCAUCUCAUAUCUCAUCAUAUCUGUGCAUGCAUAAUCUAGUUCCCAAGGGACAAAAGCCCCCAAGCACACGACCCAAAGCCUCUGUGUGUACUUAGACGGGCCCCAAAGGCCUGUAUCUCAUAUCUGUAUCUCUGUAAUUAUCACACCGCAUGCAUAUGCCCCCAAAAGGCAAAAGCGUCCAAACACACAGCCCAAAACCUCUAUGUGUGUUCAGACGCGCCCCAAAGGUCUCUCAUCUCAUCUGUAUCACAUGUAUCUGGAGGGAAGGGUACUGUCUAAUGAUUUAAAAAACAAUCACUAUACUCAUAUUCACAUACCUUUUAACCAUAUUUUAAAUCAUACCACAUUUGAAUCCACUUUUCUUGUCUUUAAAAUACUAUCAUGCUUAUUCAAAGUCGAUACGCAAAAUCAUUAAUAAAACAUUUUAAUAAAUACCAAUGCGUGAAUAAAAUCCAUUUCGAGGAAAUCAUUAAAUCAGAACAUUUAAAAUACUUAUUUCGCAAACAUGCUUUACUAUUAUCGGUAACUAUGAAAAUAAGUUUUGUAUAUUCCACUCACAGUGACGGUGUUCACGGUCGGUUAUCGUCCACGUCCGCGGACCGGUUCUCGCUCGCGGAUCCUCCUAAAUCAAGGAAACGACAUAAUUAUUUUCCGUAAAUCGGAAUUAUGACUAAAUUUUAUGCAAUAAACUCGAAACGAACAUCUAUCCAUAAUUGACAACUCCCGUGUCCAUAAAGUUACUAAAAUGCCCUUGAGUCCGUAGAUCAUUAACAUGCUCUGAAAUUGUAAAUCACUGAAUUACCCUCGGAAUCGUAAUUACACCCAAUCCUCAAUUCUAGGAAUUACUAAAAUAUCCACAGGCUCAGAAAUUAUAAAAUUGCCCUCAUAGUGUGAAAUUACCAAAAUGCCCAUUGACGGUCAAUGGUCACCGGAAUUUGGUCAACACUCGCUAGGAAGCUCAAAUUUUAAAGUUCCAAUCACGUUGAGUUCAUUGGUACCGACGGUGAGCUCUAACGCGUGGCAACGAUGCCGGAAUCUAGCUCGGCAGCUGUGAAUUCCAACAAUCGACCGACGGCAAAACAGUGACUCUCGGUGCCUAUGGAUGGUCGAAAAGGGAAGAGGGAGUCGUGGGGAACAAAAUCCAACCGGUGGUGUCACCCAAAACCGGCGAAAAUCCUGGCGGAGUAAAGUGAAACAGUCGCGGGCUUCAAGCUUCGAUCGCCGGUGUUCCGGUUGGUUUUCGGUGACGAGGAUAGCAAGGGAACAACGGCCGGCUUCUAAGCUUCAGAUUGGUACUAAACACGGCCGAAACGGUGGCCGGAAAUGGGAGAUAUGGUCGGGUUAACGUCACGGGUUCCGGGUCAGGUUUUCGGGUCUGUAGUUGGGUCGGUUUGGCAGCUCCGCUCUCACUCUCUGUUACACGUGCAUAUGUUUCCUCUGUUUCUAGCUUAUUCUUUUGUUUUUACUAACUUCUUAACCGCCUCAUACUUAUUUAUUUUUAAUUCUCAUAUGUUACAAUCCUCCCCCCUUAUAAAAAUUUCGUCCUUGAAAUUUACGUACCUGAUAAGAAAAUAUAGGGAUACUGAGCUCGCAUUAAGUCCUCGCGGUCCUAGGUAGCCUCUUCCUUUGUAUGAUUCCUCCACCGUACUUUUACUAGAGGAAUGGUCUUAGAACGCAGAACUUGGUGUUUCUCUUCUAGUAUCUCCACUGGUUCCUCUUCGUAAGUCAAAUCUGCCUUAAAUUGAAUUGGUUGCUUCGAUAACACAUGAUUCGGGUCAUAUAUGUACUUCCGGAGCAUUGAGACAUGAAACACAUCGUGGAUUUUGGAUAACUCGGGUGGCAAAGUUAAUCGAUAACCUAACGGACCGAUGCGCUCAAUGAUCUCAUAUGGCCCAAUGUAACGUGGACUUAACUUCCCACGUUUCCCAAAUCGAAGCACCCAUUUCCAAGGAGAUAUCCGUAUGAAACCUCUAUCACCAACUUCAAAUUCAAGUUCCCGCCUACGCUUGUCUGCAUAGCUCUUCUGUCUAUCUUGGGCCACCUUUAAUCUAUCCCGAAUCAAUUGUAUCUUCUCGUUCGUAUCCUGGACUAGUUCUGGACCGAAUAACCUCCGCUCACCAACCUCAUCCCAACAUACUGGAGUCCUGCAUUUUCGACCAUACAAAGCCUCAUAUGGUGCCAUCUCGAUAUUAGCUUGAUAGAUGUUGUUGUAAGCAAACUCCAUCAUAGGUAAAUAAUCGUCCCAAUUACCUUUAAACUCCAUAACACAAGCUCGCAACAUAUCCUCCAGAGUUUGAAUAGUACGCUCUGACUGUCCAUCAAUUUGUGGAUGAAAAGCUGUACUAAAGUUCAACUUGGUGCCUAAGGUAUUUUGCAAGCUAGUCCAAAACUUAGAAGUAAACCGGGAAUCUCUAUCUGAGACUAUGGACAUAAAUACUCCCCAACUUGUCCAUCGAGUAGAUGGUCUUGAAAGGUAAGAAAUGAGCAUAUUUUGUAAGUCGAUCAACAACCACCCAAACACCAUCAUGUCCUUUCUGAGUACGUGGAAGUCCCGCUACAAAAUCCAUGGUGAUGUGCUCCCACUUCCACUCAGGAAUAGGAAGCGGCUGAGAACACCCUACAGGCCUUUGGUGUUCAGCCUUAAUCUGCUGACAGACUAAACAUCGAGAAAUAAAUUCUGCUAUCUCUCUCUUUAUACCCUGCCACCAGUAAUGAUCCCUUAGGGUACGAUACAUCUUCGUACUACCAGGAUGCAUCGCAUAUGCUGAACAUGGAGCUUCUUCCAUAAUCUCUUCUUUCAGAUCUUUAAUACCAGGUACACAGAGUCUAUUACCCAUGACUAAGACACCAUCAUUUCUCACCAUAAAAUCGGUUCGUAAACUUUUCUACACAUCAUCUUUCAACUUUAUUAAUUGUGGGUCCUGAGCUUGCAUCUGGUGAACUUUGUCAAUCAAAGUCGGCCUAACUCGAAAAUUAGCUAUCAAAGCUCCACGAUUGUCAGCGUUCAACUCGACUCCCAAAGAUCUCAACUCGAUCAACAGAGGCAUAUAUUUCACUCGCAAGUGAGCUAUAUAACUGGAAAACUUUCUACUUAGUGCAUCAACUACCACAUUUGCUUUGCCCGGAUGAUAAUCGAUAGUGCAAUCGUAGUCCGUAAUCAGCUCGAUCCAUCUCCUCUAUCUCAAAUUCAACUCCUUCUGAGUAAACAAAUACUUCAAGCUCUUAUGAUCAGUGAAAAUCUAACACGUUGCCCCAUAUAAGUAAUGCCGUCAUAUAUUGAGUGCAAACACCACUGCUGCUAGCUGUAAGUCAUGUGUUGGGUAGUUUUGUUCAUGCUUCUUAAGUUGUCUAGAAGCAUAACUUUCCCAUGCUGCAUCAAUACACAACCCAAUCCCUGCCUAGAGGCAUCGCUGUAAACCACAAAUCCUUCAUUACCAGAUGGAAGUGUAAGAGCUGGUGCUGAGGUCAAACGUGUCUUAAGUUCUUGAAAACUUUUUUCACAGUCAUCAUCCCACUGGAACUUAGCAUUCUUUCUAGUUAACUGUGUCAAAGGAGUAGCAAUUUUGGAGAAUCCCUCCACAAAUCUACAUAAUAAUAAGCCAAUCCAAGAAAACUCCGAACCUCUGUGACAUUUGUAGGCCGUUCCCAUUUCACAACUGCUUCAAUCUUUUGAGGAUCAACAUAACUGCCUUCAGCUAAUAUCACAUGGCCCAAAAAUACUACUCUGGCCAACCAGAACUCGCAUUUGCUGAACUUGGCAUACAAUUGCUUCUGUCUCAAAGUCUGUAAAAUAGUCCACAAAUGCUCUGCGUGCACCUCCUCACUUCGGGAAUAAACCAAGAUAUCAUCAAUGAAUACAAUCACAAACCGAUCCAAGUAUGGGCGAAAUACCCUAUUCAUCAGGUCCACAAAAGCAGCUGGGGCAUUUGUCAAUCCAAAUGGCAUCACUAAGAACUCAUAGUGCCCAUAAUGGGUUCUAAAUGCUGUUUUAGGAACGUCGACAUCUUUAAUUCUAAGUUGAUGGUAACCCGAGCGCAAAUCGAUCUUAGAAAAUACUUUUACCCAUUGAAGUUGAUCAAACAAGUCAUCAAUACACAGAAGUGGAUACUUAUUGCGUACCGUAACUUUAUUCAACUGCCUGUAGUCGAUGCAGAGUCUAAAAGUCCUAUCAUUUUUCUUAACAAACAAGACUGGAGCUCCCCACGGGGAUACACUAGGUCUAAUAAACCCUUUCUCCACCAACUCUUGCAAUUGAACCUUCAGUUCCUUCAAUUCUGCUGGAGCCAUUCUGUACGGUGCCAUAGAUAUUGGAGAUGUUCCAAGGACUAAGUCAAUAGAAAACUCAACUUCUCUGUUAGGUGGCAUCCUAGGAAGUUCAUUUGGAAAUACAUCUGGAAAUUCUUUAACUACUGUAAUAUCCUCCAAUCUCAAUUCUCGAGCGUCUGUAUCUAUCACAUGAGCUAAUAAGUUGAGCAUCAUUUUCUUAGCAACCGUCUUGCACUAAUAGCAGAUAUAACACAUGAGGGUAGAACUUUGCACUCCCCACAAAAUUUCACCUCAGCUUUCCUUGACUUUUUAAACAACUUCUUUUGUGAAACAAUCCACCGUAGCAUGAUGAGAUUCAAGCCAAUCCAUGCCAAAAUAGCAUUAAAGUCAUAAAUAUCUAAGGAAAUCAAAUUCGCCUCAAAUUCAUGUUCACCCAUUCUAAUCAUACAAUCUCGAUACACACUCUCAGCAAGUAAUGACUCUCCGGUAGGUGUACGAACAACUAAAUUGCAAUCUAGCAGUUCGGGCUCUCGCCCUAAGUGCAUAGCAAAAGUACGAGAAACAAAAGAGUGUGUGGAUCCAGGAUCAAUAAGAAUAUGAGCCUCGCGGCCAAGGAUAGAUAAUAUACCUAUAAUAACUUCUGGUGCAGCACGUGCCUCCCGCUGCGUCAAAGCAAAAACUCGAGCCUGAGUAUGAGGUCGACCAGGCUGACCUCUUUGACCUGGAGCAAUCGUCUGACUCCUAAAGGUAGAUGUAGAACCUCCUGUCUGCACUCCUUUCUGACCCCGAGUCUGGCCAGAGUAAGGCUGAUACCGUGAGGCUGUCCCUCUUGCAGAGCUAUCACCCUGAGAUAAAGUAAGGCAAAAUCUCUUAAUGUGUCAAGGAUGACCACACAAAUAACAAACUCUGUCUCUAACACGACAUUGGCCCUGAUGAUUCCUGCCACAUGAAGGGCAAGAAGUCUGCUGAAAACUCCUAGAACGAUAAUCACGAUAUCCCCCACCACUGCGGUCGUAUUGUCCUUAAUUCCUGAAAUUACUCCCCACUGAUGGUUGCACAGAGCUAUGAUUGACAGCCUGUCUCGAGUCUCCCCUGAAGCCUAUACUCUGACUCCUUUGCAUACUAUCAGAAUAACUCGUAGGAAUACCCCCUCUCUUGGGCGGCCUACUACUAGAGUCACCCUCUACCCAACUCUGGCUAUGCUUCUGCUUCAGUGCAUGAAAUCUACGUCCUUCUGAAAUACUGUGCUCUACUCUCCUGGCUGCCUCAACUACCUCUCCAAACUCAGUAUAUCGUGAUGCAGUCACGGUGGUGCGAAUCUCAAAUCGGAGGCCAUCCUCGAACCGUCUCCAUCUCUCUCUCUCAUCACCGACUACAAAUGUAGCAAAUCUAGAGAGGUCUAAAAAUUUCUUCUCAUACUCCUCAACUAUCAGAGAUCCUUGAACCAACCGAAAGAGUUCACUUCGUUUAAUAUCCUGAUAUACAGCAGGAAAAUAAUGAUCGUAGAAUUCCUUGCGGAAAAUGGCCCAAGUAAUCGUAGCAUGCCCCUGAUAUCGUCUCUCCACAGUCUGCCACCAAUGGUAAGCUCUAUCCUCGAGCAAGAAAGUGGCGAAAGAUAAUCUGUCAUCUUCUGAACACUUCAUCACGUCAAAAAUACGCUCCAACUUAACAAACCAUAACUCAGCCUCAGAUGGUUCUCCGGAACCAUUAAAGCUCCUCGCCCCUAAACUCCUCACUCGCUCAAUAGUGUUUGCGUUACCGACAUGCGCUUGAGUCUGAUUUUGCACAACUAUAGUCAUGAUCUGAGCCAACCUAUCAAAUGACUGCACAAUAUUUGGGGCAUUCCCCGGUGCCUGUUGUGCAAUUUCAUGCGUAGAGGAUUCAACUAUCACCUCAUUCGCAGGUUCACUUUCCCCCGCAGGUACACUACCAGAAGUCUACCCAGCUAUUGGCCUAGUAUGGCCACGACCAUGUUUACUGCUACCACGAAGCAUGAUGGUGCCUCCAAGAUAUAAAUUCUAACUUUAAUAAUAAAACUUAUUCUUAUUAAGACAUUAAAGUCUACAGAAUCUAAAACCUGGCUCUGAUACCAGCUGAAACGACCCGCCCCGAAUCCCCCCCAAGCGAGUCUAUCUAGUCUCAUCAAAACAGACUUGAUAAAAAUUCUAUUAGUAAAGAUUCUGCCGAAAAUUCGGCAGAGCCUCCUUUAUAUAUAUAACACUCCCAAUCUACAUAUAUGAAUAUAACACUCCCAAUACAAUUCAAUAUACAACAAACUCUAGUGAUCAACAUCCUUAACCAAAAUGCUAAGUUUUAUAUCUCCAGAGUCUCAAAAGAUAAUAUUAUAACUAAUAUUAAUAUCUCAGUUUAUUCUUAAUUCCAAAAGAAUAAUAUAACAAAAUUAUACAACCCCAACAGGAUGAGAUAACCAAGAUGUCCUAACAAAAACAUUUAUAUCUUCUAACACCAUCACGUGGCCAAGACUCAAAAUAUAUUUACAGUACCUGCAACCUCCUGGUGAGGGGGGAAAAAUAUAAUAAAAACGGGGUGAGUUUAAAACUCAGUGACUGGAUAGUAGUUUUGAAAAUUAAUUCUUACUUUAAAAUAAAAAAUCAUAUCAUUUUCAAACAUGAUUUCAUUAAACCAUAAGCGAGAAACCAGUAAUAAAUCAUUAAACAUUUAAAUCAGAUUACUAACCAUGGAAAUCAUAUCACAAUAUCAUAUAGAAUUCACAAAUCUGAAAAUCAUCACCAAACAAGUACCCAGGGAAAUAAUCUCGUCAUAUCCGGAC
This 7352-nucleotide long non-coding RNA is filed under the name Citrus maxima (pomelo). Its description in RNAcentral is "long non-coding RNA (CMAX_LNC000354)". Lineage: Eukaryota; Viridiplantae; Streptophyta; Magnoliopsida; Sapindales; Rutaceae. The record is from RNAcentral.